GAUGAACGCUGACAGAAUGCUUAACACAUGCCAGUCGAAGGGGAAGUGGUGCUUGCACCCUGGUAACCAUGGCGGACGGGUGAGUAACACGUAAGGAACUUACCUGCGGGACCGGGAUAACAGCAGGAAACUGCUGACAAGACCGGAUAAGGUCAUUAAGCUGCAUAGCUUAGUGAUGAAAGGAGACGCCUGCGGAGAGCCGUGCGUCCUAUUAGCUAGUUGGGGGGGUAACGGCCCCCCAAGGCGAAGAUAGGUAGCCGGCCUGAGAGGGUGGACGGCCACAAGGAGUGUGAGAUACGGCCCUUACUCCUGCGGGGGGCAGCAGUGGGGAAUAGUGGACUAGGGGGGCAACCCUGGUCCAGCAAUUCUGUGUGCAAGAAGGCGGUUUUCGGAGUGUAAAGUGCUUUCAGCAGGGAAGAAGGAAGUGACGGUACCUGCAGAAGAAGCGACGGCUAAAUACGUG
Molecule: ribosomal RNA, 463 nt
Filed under: uncultured bacterium
Lineage: Bacteria
Description: partial 16S ribosomal RNA
Rfam family: Bacterial small subunit ribosomal RNA
Source: RNAcentral